GACGAACGCUGGCGGCGUGCUUAACACAUGCAAGUCGAACGGAAAGGCCCUGCUUUUGUGGGGUGCUCGAGUGGCGAACGGGUGAGUAACACGUGAGUAACCUGCCCUUGACUUUGGGAUAACUUCAGGAAACUGGGGCUAAUACCGGAUAGGAGCUCCUGCUGCAUGGUGGGGGUUGGAAAGUUUCGGCGGUUGGGGAUGGACUCGCGGCUUAUCAGCUUGUUGGUGGGGUAGUGGCUUACCAAGGCUUUGACGGGUAGCCGGCCUGAGAGGGUGACCGGCCACAUUGGGACUGAGAUACGGCCCAGACUCCUACGGGAGGCAGCAGUGGGGAAUAUUGCACAAUGGGCGGAAGCCUGAUGCAGCAACGCCGCGUGCGGGAUGACGGCCUUCGGGUUGUAAACCGCUUUCGCCUGUGACGAAGCGUGAGUGACGGUAAUGGGUAAAGAAGCACCGGCUAACUACGUGCCAGCAGCCGCGGUGAUACGUAGGGUGCGAGCGUUGUCCGGAUUUAUUGGGCGUAAAGGGCUCGUAGGUGGUUGAUCGCGUCGGAAGUGUAAUCUUGGGGCUUAACCCUGAGCGUGCUUUCGAUACGGGUUGACUUGAGGAAGGUAGGGGAGAAUGGAAUUCCUGGUGGAGCGGUGGAAUGCGCAGAUAUCAGGAGGAACACCAGUGGCGAAGGCGGUUCUCUGGGCCUUUCCUGACGCUGAGGAGCGAAAGCGUGGGGAGCGAACAGGCUUAGAUACCCUGGUAGUCCACGCUGUAAACGGUGGGUACUAGGUGUGGGGUCCAUUCCACGGGUUCCGUGCCGUAGCUAACGCUUUAAGUACCCCGCCUGGGGAGUACGGCCGCAAGGCUAAAACUCAAAGGAAUUGACGGGGCCCCGCACAAGCGGCGGAGCAUGCGGAUUAAUUCGAUGCAACGCGUAGAACCUUACCUGGGUUUGACAUGGAUCGGGAGUGCUCAGAGAUGGGUGUGCCUCUUUUGGGGUCGGUUCACAGGUGGUGCAUGGCUGUCGUCAGCUCGUGUCGUGAGAUGUUGGGUUAAGUCCCGCAACGAGCGCAACCCUUGUUCACUGUUGCCAGCACGUUAUGGUGGGGACUCAGUGGAGACCGCCGGGGUCAACUCGGAGGAAGGUGGGGAUGACGUCAAGUCAUCAUGCCCCUUAUGUCCAGGGCUUCACGCAUGCUACAAUGGCUGGUACAGAGAGUGGCGAGCCUGUGAGGGUGAGCGAAUCUCGGAAAGCCGGUCUCAGUUCGGAUUGGGGUCUGCAACUCGACCUCAUGAAGUCGGAGUCGCUAGUAAUCGCAGAUCAGCAACGCUGCGGUGAAUACGUUCCCGGGGCUUGUACACACCGCCCGUCAAGUCAUGAAAGUUGGUAACACCCGAAGCCGAUGGCCUAACCGUUGUGGGGGAGCCGUCGAAGGU
RNAcentral lists this ribosomal RNA (1428 nucleotides) under uncultured organism. RNAcentral's name for it is "16S ribosomal RNA". It matches the Rfam family "Bacterial small subunit ribosomal RNA". The record is from RNAcentral.